Molecule: long non-coding RNA, 5043 nt
Organism: Pipra filicauda (Wire-tailed manakin)
Lineage: Eukaryota; Metazoa; Chordata; Aves; Passeriformes; Pipridae
Exons: 2
Source: RefSeq, a predicted model, not a curated record
CUUCACAGAAUAGUUGGGGUUGGAAGGGACCUCUGGGGACCACCUGGUCCAAACUGCCACUGGAAGAAGUGACACAGGAAUGCAUCCAGGAGGAUUUUGAAUGUCUCCAGAGAGGGAGACUCCACACUCUCCCUGGGUAGCUCCUCCAUCUGCUCCCCAGCCACAGCUCUCUUGCUGUCCUUCCCUGGCCAUGGGCAGCACAGGAGGUGCCCGGGGCUGGCACUGGCACAGGAUGUGGCCUCAUUCCAGGCUCCCUCAUCACUCAUCCCAGAGAAAACAGCCACCCUCCCCACGGCUCAGAGACCUUCCAGCCCUCAGGACCAGCCACCUGGGGCUGAGAGUGCAGGGCACCAGCUAAGGAGGACAGCCAGGAGCCCCAGAACUGGGUGGCCGGGUUUGUGCAACUGUGGAAAAUGCUGUGAAGAAAUGGGAAAUCUGCUCCAGGCCCCCUCCUCGCUCCAGUAUCUGGACCAAUGUGGGAGUUUGUCCCCUGCACCAAUAGUGCAAGCAAACACCUCAGAAAGCCCCUGUGAGGUUUGUCCUGAUUUUUUCAUACCAACUGCCUUCAGUCUCAGCAGAGCAAGUGGCUGUGGAAGUGCCUAGAGCAUGAGAGCAGCCGUGGGGAAGGUGCUGUGGCCACAGAGAGGGACCAUUUCUGUGCAAACUUUCCUCAGAAGGAAAAUGAAGAGAAACUCGUGACUCCCCAUGGCUGUGUGCAGGGAAACCAGUGAGGACAGAGCGGGAUUUCCAGGCACUCGGAGGGACUAUCAGCACUCUCGGCUACCAGAGCCAAGCCCUGUGGUCUGCAGCUUUCUGGUGAACUCCUGGGUUUGGUUGAAAGGAGAGCUCUGGCUGCUCCUGUCGCCCUGGGUGCUGGCAGCUGGAGCCCUUGGUGGUGGGCAGGAACUGCCGGUGCUCGGCACGGCGCAGGAUCCGCCCGCGGAGCUUUGACGUCAGCGGCGCUUGAAAGAAAAACUAAAAAAAGGCCAAGCUUAGUUUUGAUGACUCCGUUUUCCAGAGGAAGUUGAAAAAAAAAAAAAGAAAAAGAAAGCAAAAAGCUCCAGCCCCCAAAAUACACGGAGGCAGAAGAGUUGGGGUCAGUGGAGGGACAGGAGGAGGUGCCCAGUGACCUCCACGGCCAGGCCCCGCGGGAUGCAGGCACUGACCUCACGUGUGAGUAGUGCAACAUCAGGUGUAACAAAAGGCAACCUGGCAAAGAUCAGUGCCCUUCUCCUGCCUGCAGUGACUCAUGCUUUCACCUGAAAAACAUAUUCCCCGAGGAAGGUUUCCACCAGCAGUUUUAAUGGGACUAUCCCACCGUGAAGGUUCUUGGAAACUACAUGACUCUUGGAAAAACUUCCCUGCUGCAAUCUGGCAGCAGUCAGGUGUGUAGCCCACGGUGAGUUGUUCCAUCUCUUGCUGUUUCCAUUCUGACAGUAACUAUUCACAGAAUCACAGAAUCAAUUAGGUUGGAAAAGACCUCUGAGGUCAUCAAUCUAACCUGUGACCAAACACCACCAGGUCAACAAGCCCGUGGCACUAAGUGCCACAUUCAGCCUUUCCUGGUUUCCCCAACCCCUGGGUUUGAUUUGUUCUGCUCUGCCCUGAGGUUCUCCUGUCCUUCCCUGGUGCUGUCCCAUGGAAUCCCUCUGUACUCCCUGCUGUCCCAUGCCAUCCCUGUGGAAUCAUGAUGAGCAGUUCAGAUCCUUUUCCCUGCUGCUCCUCUGGUGACUGAUCCCACAACACUGCCCUGGGACAACCGCCCUGGUCCUCAGGUGUGUGAGAAGCUCUCAGUGAUCUGCCUUGGUUCUCCUUUUGCAGCUGUGAUGUGCUGGAAAUGCUCUUCCCCACAUGAGGCAAAGGCACAUUGCCCUUUGCUGCUGGGGAAUGUCUGUGCGUGAAAACGGAAAGCUCAGCUUGACCUUAGGAGAGGAUGAACAGACAAACAGCCCAAAUAAAUAACACCACAUCCUUUGUAUUUACAAAUUAAAUAGAAUAAAUAAUGUCUGCAUACAGCAGGGGCAGAACACAGCCCAUAGUGUUAAGCUGGGCUGGCCUGGCUCAUCGUGUAUCCCAUAACCCAUGAGACAGCCAGCACCCCGGGGCUCUGCCCGUGCUCCAGCAGUAGGGUGGCUGAUGUCAGGCUGCCCUCUGCUCCCAGUGUCUGUGUUGUGAAAGGUCUGGAUGUCAUCGGAGGAUGUCACUGGAGCUGUGGACGUCAGCUGGAGGAGCCCAGUGCUGGCCAGAGAAAGGGGGAAGUGGAAACACACAGCUGGCCCCAGCCCCAAGGGUGGCCCUGUGCCUCAGGCUGGGCUGCUGAGGAGGGCAGACAAGACAGGAUCAUCCUUGGGAAACAUCCUGGUGCGUAUCCUUGAGCUGGGUGAGCAGUAGCUGAGCAGGUGCUCCAGGGAUGUGUCUCAGCCUGGCUCCACUUGGUUUGGUGUGUUAACAUUCAGGGGUGGCAGUAGCUUAUUGAGUGGCUGCUCCCCACGGGCAGCGGGUAGAAGAGGUAGUUGUGUCAGUGUGCAGGGCUGGCAGCACCUGCUCCCCGGCCUGGGCACGGCUCACAGGCGGCUGUCCUUGCUGUCCCCACUGAGCAGGCUCAGGGGGUUCACUGGCAGUGUGAGCCAGUCCGUGCUGAGGCUGGAGGUGAGGGGCAGCGUCCCCAGGACGUCAGUGUUGAAGAUGCUCAGGUCGAAGGGAGCUUUCAGGAGCUCAGGGCAAGCUUUGGAGACCAAGGGAGCACUUGGAGCCCCCCAGCUCAGCAGAGUGGGGGCUAGGGGUCCCACCUGGCUGGAAAAGUCCAAGGAAGGGGCUCCCCAUGGAGCGAGGUCCUGCGCGUGGCCACGGGGAUGCUCUGGAGAGGACUGCUUCAAAUACCCUUUGGACACAGCCAGCUCGGAGCACUCAACAUCCAGCACGAGGUCAGUGCCCUGCCCAGGCCCUUCACAGCCCGAGAGGGGCAUUCCCUUGGCUGGGUCCUGCCCUGGCUCCACCGUGCCCCUGCACUGCUGCAGGUACCCGCGGAACUCCACGGCCUCCUGGCCGGUGGCAGGGCAGAGCUCUGGCUCCCCUUGGCUGCUGUUCCCGCUGCUGGAGGAGCACGUGGGACCAGGGCAGGGGCUCUCCAAGCCCACACCGCUGUCGUCGCCAGUGGGCAGCUGUCGCCUGUAGCCCUGGGGCUCAGGGCGGGCGGAGCAGCUCAGUCCGGGGGAGGAGGAGGGGAUGUGCAGGCAGAUGCCGCUGUCGGUGCUGCUGCCGCUGUUGUCUCGGCUUCCCACGGGUCCCAGCAGGCACAGCCGGUCCUCAGGCCACACUGGGAGCUUCCAGCCCUGCUCCAGGGGCACCUGGGCUGUGCUAGUGCUGCUGUCCAGCUGGGGCUCCUUCUGGCACAGGAACAGCUGCUGGAUGGGGUCUGUGUCCAGGCUGCCCAAGGAUGGGGGCUCGUGCUCCACCCAGAGUGAGCUCUGCUUCAUGAAGGACUUCUGAGAGGGAGAGAAAGAAGGGAGUGAGCCGGGCUUUGUCCCUUUUGUUGCUGGCUGCUCCCAGCACUCCCCAAGCCUGCGCCUGCCCCUCCAUGCCAGCCACAAAAGGUGCCUUACCAGGACAGAUGGUGUCCUCACAGGUUUCUUUAUGUAGGUGUGCACCAGCAGAGCCCCCAGGAUCCCCAAAAGCACAAUGAAGCAGGGGCUGAGGAUGCUCGGGAGAAGCUCCACAAUCCCUGCAAGAGAGGACGUGUCCAGCACCGUGUGGGACAGACGGGGAGAGCAUGGGAGCAGCAACUCAUCUCACCGUCUUGUUGUCCUGUGUCCUCCUGACGUACACCCGGUACUGCCUCGUGUCCUCGUGGAUGUCUUCGUACCUCACAGUGACUUUCCCAGUCUGGAAGAGCAGCUGCAGCUGCACGUGGAUGGUGUUGCCCUUCACGGAGAGGCUCUGGCCCGACAGGCGCAGGCUGGCUGGAGGCAAGUCAGUCGGAAGAGCACGUUAGGGCUGUGUCCUGCUUGCAGCACUGGACUGAGCUGUGACUGUCCCUCGCAGCCGGUGCCACCCAUCCUCGCUUUGUCCCAUCCUAUCCUGCAGCCUGCCUGCCCUCCAGGAAGGUAUGGAGGGAUUUAUCCCUGCUCUCAUUCAUCCCACGGUUCUUCCCAAGUGGUUUGACACCCUGACCUCACCAUCCUCAGAGCCUCCUACCCCUGGCCGAGGUGAAGGCAGACCCCAACCUACCAUCCUGUGGGGAGAAGGCGUUGGUCCUUUGCCACGAGGACGUGUGGUUCCCGGACACAGCCCUGACCCGGGCGUAGUAGCGCUUGUCGGGAUCCAGGGUGUAGAAGGUGAGGUCGCAGGAUUGCCUCGAGGACUUGGUGCACUCUGGGAUGGCCGUCCAGGGGAUUUCCGUGCCAUAGCUGUGGGGAGAAGCACCGGGGGUGAGAGCCGUGCAGGCAGCAGGGACUCAGCUGUCCCUUGCCGUUGGAGUCGGAUGGCAGGCAGGGCUCAGCCCCCACGGCUGCACUCACACUUUGUACUCCACGUCGUAGCAGACGUCCCUGGGGUGGCCGUGUCCCGGCUCCCACUCCAGCACGUGCCACGUGGUCUCGGCAGCGAAGCGCACGCGCCGGGGGCUCGCCAGCCCCUCACCUGCGGGACCCACGGUGGGCGUUGGGUGAGGCUGCACAGCCCCCCGUCCCACUGGUGCCCACGGGAGCUGGGCAGGGCCCUUGGGAGGGCCUCCUGGAGCGUCACCCCACGUUUAGUGCUGACCACUCGAAAUGUGUAAGGAUUUCCCCGGAGUUCUUUGUCCGAGUUUCAGCGUUUGCUCAUCCCCAUCUUCCCCUUCCUUUCUCUUUGGGCAGAGCCCAGCUCAGCCCAGCCAGGGGGUUCCCCGUGCUUUUCUGCCCCAAGAAAGGAGCUGUAUUUGCAUCCCCAAGCCCCUGCCAUUGGCCACGGGGGCUCUGUCCGGACUCAGCUUUCUCGCAGCUGUGUUUGGACUCCGCUUUCCUGUUUUGCUCAUCUGCUGCCUGGAUGAAACAGGCUGUUUUCACA